CCCUUCGUCAACUCACCCGAAGGGUGGGCGUGAACUGUUGUACCUCACCGGGGCCGCAAAGGACGGAGUUUUCCAAGUCACGUGUUUGUUUGCGUGCUCUAUAACUGGCUGUGACUCCUAAGAAACAAGUUUAGGGUAUUUUGAUAAAUAUUUCUAAAAGUGAUGCUAUUCUCCGAGGGAAAAGGAUAACCGUAGCCUUUGAAGUGUCUGUGGAGGCUUUAUCCCACGCGAGUGAGGAAGGCCCAAGGGCUCAGCAACUGAGUAGCUUACGGUUUUAUGGAGCACUGAAAGGCCACAACCUGGCCAAACCGGUUAGAAAGGUGUUCACUGGCAAGAGGAGGAGAAAGAUAAAAGUUUUCAUAAUACAAGGUAUUGAAAAACAAGGUUACAACAACCUUACGGCUCUAAUUACCUUAAUUUCCGAUUCAUGAGUCCUGAUAGCAUUUCAUUUUGUGAAAUACAGCUCCCACAACCUGAUUGGCUUAUAGGCACAAAGGAGCUCCAAAAAACAUAGUAUCAUAAAUAAGAAACAUUGGCUUGUGGAAGAUGAACACACUUGGGGAGGAUAAAUUUCCAUUUCCUUAUAGAUUCACUGGAAGUGCUACAGUGUAAGCACAGAAAUUAUUAGACUCCAAUCAUUAAAGCCAUCUAUUGUUGGGGAUCAAGUCCCCAGAGGGUUGGACAUGAAGAACCUCAAGUAUUAUGCUGUGUUCGAAGAAGGAUAUAAAUACCAAAACAUAACUAAAAACUAAGAUACAUCAUAGUUGAACAGAUUCUAAUUAAAGAUAUUUACA
This is a long non-coding RNA of Fukomys damarensis (Damara mole-rat), 794 nucleotides long. RefSeq lists it as uncharacterized. The record is from RefSeq and is a predicted model, not a curated record. NCBI's taxonomy places the organism in Eukaryota, Metazoa, Chordata, Mammalia, Rodentia, Bathyergidae. The transcript has 3 exons.